Molecule: long non-coding RNA, 1919 nt
Organism: Bufo bufo (common toad)
Lineage: Eukaryota; Metazoa; Chordata; Amphibia; Anura; Bufonidae
Exons: 3
Source: RefSeq, a predicted model, not a curated record
GACCCUGAGGUAUUUUGUGUGGUCGGACACAAAUAAUCAGGAGCUGCUGCCCCCCUCCUCCCAGGACAGCAGCAGCCACCUGCACUCAGCGCAGCACUCGGGGAUGGAUGGAUGGCCGUGUGCUCGGGCUGUACACACCAGUCCUUACAGUCUGCACCUUUGUACAGGUUACAGAUAGGAAGGAAGUGGAGGCCCCUGCUACUGUCACCCACAUGGAGGGCAGGAGUCUCCGGGCACUGGUCUUCAGGGGGCUGCACUGCUCAGAUAAAUACUGGGAUGAUGUCCAGCUAUCUAAUGCUAAAGGAACCAGAGGGAACCAAGUUGUCUGUCCCGAGGCGGCUCGUAUAUACAGAGUUAUGCUCAUACGUAUUAUAUAUACAUUUUGCCCCCUUAAAGGGAACCGAGCUCUAGCUUUGGGGCCACUUAACCAGCAACAGGGGUCUAGCAUCCCAAACCUGCCCAUAUAAAAACGGUCUGUUUCGCAUUGUGUAGCAAAAGAAUUUGUAACUUACCGGGGCUCAUCCCCAGUUUCAUCAGGGGCAUGUGCACUGCGCACAUGAAGAGGAGGACAGCACACUUCAUUGUGCAUGUGCAGGAAAGCCAUGUGCACUGCCCUAGAAUUCAAUGCACAUGCCCCAGCUGCAUAAUGAUACAUGAGCGGUGAUGUGCAUUGUCCUAGGAUUCAUCUGUGCAAUGUGCAUGCCCCAGCUGCAUUACAGUGCAUGCCCCAGCUGCAUUACAGUGCAUGCGCAGUGAAGCGAUGAGCACUAUUUUGCAUUGUGCAGUAAAAUAUUUUGUAAUUUACCAGGUCACAUCUCCAGCCACAUUGGGCGUACAUGCAUUGCACAUAUGAAGCAGAGGACUGUACAUCUUAGUUCAUUGUGCAUGCGCAGGAAAGUGAUGUGCACUGUCCUAGGAUUCAUCAUGUGCACUCCCCAGCUACAUAAUGAUACAUGUACAGGGAAGUGAUGUGCACUGUCCUAGGAUUUAGUGCACACAUCCAGCUGUUAUAACAGUGCAUGCGCAGUGAAGUGAUGUCUACUCUCCUAGGAUUCAUCAUGUGCACUCCCCAGCUACAUAAUGAUACAUGUACAGGGAAGUGAGGUGCACUGUCCUAAUAUUUAUCUGUGCCAUGUACAUGCCCCAGCUGCAUACAGAUGCAUGCACAGUGAUGCGAGGUAUACUAUCCUUUCUUCAUCUGGUGCAAUGUGCAUGCCUCAGCUAUAUAAUGACACAUGCACAGGGAAAUGAGACAUACUGUUCGUGGCUUUAUCAAGGCAAUGCACUUGCGCCUGAGCUUAUCUCAAGUAAGGCCUCAUGCACACAACUGUAUUUUUCUGCAGUCUGCUAUCUGUUUGCAAACGGAGAAUCAGAUAUGGCUGUGUGCAUGUACUUUACUACACAAUGCAGAAACGCUACACUCCAGCUGCCUGAAGACAUCUAGUGACCGCUUCCCCUUGAUUUUUCGUAGUUAGCAGUAGGGUUCAGGCCAAUAUCUGCAUUGAGUUUUUAUAGUCUCCUACUGCAUGGGUUCUGCAAAUUUCUAAGACCUCAAAAACCUGGCAGAACCACCUGGUGAAUGGAGCUGUGGACACUCUGUGUGCCUCCAUAUGGAGCCAUCUUUCAGAGUUGUUCUCUCCUAAAAGCGUCUAUGGGAAAAUAGCUCUGUAAUAAAGUAUCCACAGGGGUGCACCUAGCUUUUCUGCUGCCUGAGGCGAAAACCUAACCCCUUUGCCAAAAUGGCCCAGGGCCCUUCUGCUGCCCCCCUCUUGCCCCUACCUGGUGCUGCCUGAGGUGAUCGCCUCACCUGGCCUCAUUGUUGGUGCCCCCCUGAAUGUCCAAUACAACACGGUGCAUUUAUUCUUCUGCUUACCUAUACAGGUAUACAGAGGUCCAGUAAAGCCAGUAGAUAUGACAGA